GACCCGUCUUGAAACACGGACCAAGGAGUUUUAUAUGAUCGCAAGUCAAAGGGCCUUACGAAACCCCAUGGCGCAAUUAAUGUAAAGGUUUGCUUCGGUAGACUGUGAUGUGACCUCGUGGNAACACAGAGUGCAACAUCGACCCGUCUAAAGAUGUUCGCAUCUGGGCGGAGUUUGAGCGAUCAUGUAGAGACCCGAAAGAUGGUGAACUAUGCUUGUGCAGGUUGAAGUCAGAGGAAACUCUGAUGGAGGACCGCCGCGGUUCUGACGUGCAAAUCGAUCGUCGGACAUGAGUAUAGGGGCGAAAGACUAAUCGAACCAUCUAGUAGCUGGUUCCCUCCGAAGUUUCCCUCAGGAUAGCUGGCAUUUGUGAUUGUAGUUUUACCUGGUAAAGCGAAUGAUUAGAAGUAUUGGGGACGAAAUGUUCUCAACUUAUUCUCAAACUUUAAAUGGGUUCGAAGUAUGUCUCUCUUUAUUGGAGAUGUACAUCGAAUACGAAUGCCUAGUGGGCCAUUUUUGGUAAGCAGAACUGGCGAUGUGGGAUGAACCAAACAUCUGGUUAAGGUGCCUAACAUCACGCUCAUGAGAAACCACAAAAGGUGUUGGUUGAUAAAGACAGCAGGACGGUGGACAUGGAAGUCGUCAUCCGCUAAGGAGUGUGU
This 662-nucleotide ribosomal RNA is filed under the name Schmidtea polychroa. Its description in RNAcentral is "LSU rRNA". It matches the Rfam family "Eukaryotic large subunit ribosomal RNA", at positions 646 to 1283 of the family's 3401-position model. Lineage: Eukaryota; Metazoa; Platyhelminthes; Tricladida; Dugesiidae. The record is from RNAcentral.